UGUUUAUAAGUAAUACUGAGAUUUCCAUUUAUACAAAUCCCAACAGUAAUUACAAUAUCAAUGGUGGUCUAUAUAAAACAAGCUUUGCAUUUAAUGCAGAUGGACAUAUUCAUAUUUUUUUCAAAUGUAAAAUACAUGAAUGUUUUUAAGCUUUAUGAAAAGUAUUUAUGCAUGGGUAUAAGAUAUAUAUGUAUGUGCUUUGUUCAUGGUAUAUCAACUUUGAUACCUAGAAAAUAAUACAAACUUCCAUCAUAAUUCAUUUUUUUUCAUUUAAUUUUUUUAAGGUGACUUCAGCCAGAAAAAUAAAAUACCAUACAUUUGAUUAGUUUUCCAACAACAGUAAUAGUAAACUUGUCAUUACUAUGUUAGCUCCUAACUUGAAUCAAAUUUCUCAAAUAUUUCAUGAUGAAAUAAUUUUAAUACAAAAUAUGACUUUUCAUAACUACAAGAUUGCUAAAUUGUAACCAAAUAUUUUGUGUCACAUACAUAAAUUGACUGUGGUACACUAGCUAGACUGUGGUACACAAGCUACACUGAGGUACACUAGCUAGACUGAGGUACACUCGCUAGACUGAGGUACACUAGCUAGACUGUGGUACACUAGCUAGACUGAGGUACACAAGCUAGACUGAGGUACACUAGCUAGACUGUGGUACACUAGCUAGACUGUAGUAUACUAGCUAGACUGAGGUACACUAGCUAGACCGUGGUACAUUGUGAACACUAUUCCCCUAGCAGCUAUGUAUCUAACUGCCCCUUGUCACAAUCAAUAUAGUAGACUAUGGAUUUCCAGAAACACAUUGUAGCCACUGACCUUGUAGGACCCUCAUGGUUAGUAAACCUUGUCGUACUGUAGCCAAAUGACAAGACAAAUACUACAGUAGACUUAUGGAAAACCAGUCACAAACCAGUGUAGACUUGUGGUACACCAGCUACACACUUUAGCAAGAUUAUGAUACAAAAAGCUAAUAGUCCAAGUCUGAUCAAUCCCACAAAAUUGUCAAAUAAAUAUGGUGGAAUAGAAUAGUACAGUUUCAGAGGAACAAUAUAAAGAGAAGUGUCUAUGGUAGACUUAAAUAAAUAUUAACUUUUUGUUGAUAAAUUUUCAACUUAAGUAAAAUUGCCAUGAAAAAUUAAAUAAUAAAGCUUGACUUGACCAUCUUUCACCCAUACAUAAACAGUAAAACAGUUUUUCAAAUGACUCAAAACAGAUGCAUGUAAAAAAAUAAAAGCAAUAUCAUAGAAAAUAAAGAGAUCUUAAAUGAGAUAAGUCAAUUCAAUUCAUUCACUUCAGAAAUUAGGGGUAAAUGUUUUAAACCCUUGUCAGAAACAUAUUUGUUAAAGUACAAGUUUUAUGAAUUAUGGUAAGUUUAAAUUAACAACAUAUUACAAUACAGUUUGGUUCAUGAUAGUUUAUUGUUUGUGCAGUAAAAUGAAUUUCCAGUAUCUGCAGUGGAAUACAAUGAUUAUAUAUGUUAUAAAGAAUAUCUAAGUAAUGGAGUAAAAAGGAUGACACUGUAUAAAAAAGAGAAAUGUCGUUUGUACAAAUCAGUUCACAAUAAUCAAACAAAAUGUCUAAUACACAUUGGUUCAUUCAACUUAUUAAAUGAUAGCAAACUUAAUCAUUUAAACUAUAGAUACAUGUAUAUAAUAUUUGUAACUGAAUGUUGUAGCAUGAUCUUUGAAUGAUGAAAUAAUACUAAAGGUUAUACUUGUAUACAUUUGUAUUAAUGAUAAAUACCAUUACAAGGGAGGUAAUAAUGUUGAUGAACUUACGUUAAUGUUUACACUUAAUUUUCUUUCAAUCAGCACAUUCUAAUCAUUCACAGUCUUAAAAUGGAGAAACUACAAUUCUAAUUUAAAUAUGAAAUGUAAGCAUUGAAGAUGUCACUUUAUAAUGAAUGAACUCAUGAAUACACAUUGGUGUGGUAUUACUUACAUACAACUCUUCACUUUGAUGAGUUUAUCUACUAUGGGUUUAUUUGUUAAAUAAUAAUUUUUGUGGGUUUCAUGGGUCAAGGUGAACUACAAAUUCAAAUGUUCAUCAAAUGCCAAAUUUUCUAUAAACCUCAUGAAUCCUCGACAAUAAACGAAUCCACAGUAUGUAUUUGUUACAGUGUUGUGAUUAUGGUUCCUUAAAACUGUGUUAUAACUUCUUGAUGGUUAUAUUGGUUCAAAGCAAAAUUUCCCCUGAACAAUGUUGAAAUGUUAAAGUUGUUGAAACCUACAUGUCCUAGAAUUUGAAUAUUAAAUUCUAAUAUCCUUGAAACAGAUUUUACUAUUAUAAAAAUCUAAGGUCAAAACUUUUGACCUCCUAAAUUGAGUUAUUAUUGUUGUAAGAUACAACUUUUAUAUAAUAUUUCAAAUUGUAAUGUACAAUGACAUGCAACACCGCAACGUUGAACAAGGAUUGUUUCUGGGAUACUUUAAAUGUGACUAUAUCUUUUUAUACAUUUAUCAAUAAACUUACAUAAUUCUGAAAGUACUGAACAAUUUAAGUGAAUUGAAACAACCUGGAAUCCCUUACACUAACAAACAUGGGUAUAUUUCUAGUAUCUGUGACCUUGAACCCCCUCGUUAUGUGUAAUAAUGUAUUCAAGUUUGAUUACAAUCCAAUGAAAGUUUCUUUUUGAAGUCACAUGACUGACCAUUCAAAAACAUUACAUCUCUACUACUACAUAUAGUGUUGGUUAUAAAUAUACAAUGUUAAAGUCAGUACUUAAUCAGUAACAUUGUAGACAAAAACAAACUUAUUACAAGCAUGAUUUCUAUAUAUCAUAUUUCUUUCAAAAAAUUUACAAUUUUAUAAACACUGUUAUUUAAAACAUGAUACCUACAAUUUACAAAAAUCAAAAUGAAAGACAAGAGGGAUAACAGCACACAGUAUAAUUUCUUACAUAGAUUCAAUGCUUGUAAUAGAUCAUAACACAAAAUAAAAUUGUCUUGUCCAAAUACAUAUUAAUAGUCGUCAGGAAAUAAAAAAAUAUAUUUCUGACUUCUGAGCAUAAAAGACAGAAGAAUAAUAGUUUUCAUGAAAACAAAAGAAUUUUUCCUUUUCUUAAUGACCGGUGUACAGCUUCAUGUCCAAUAUGGACAAUGUUUAAUAGAUUUUUGAACUUAAAACAUAAAAAUUCAAAAUGUUUUGAGUGUUGGUCCCUUUUAAAAAUAAAUAAAAAGAAAGAAAACCACUAGAUUUAACAACCUUUCAGCCUCUUGUUUAGAAAUAAAGGUCCUACUUCACACCACACUCACUGUGGUGAAGAUAUUAUUGAGAUCCUUAGUUUGUCAUGAUAUACACUUUAAAAAUAUUUUGAAGUUGAAUAUUCAUUGGUUAUCAUAAUAAUGAUUAUCAGACCAGAAAAUAGAACAGAGUUUUCAUAAUUUUGGAAGUUAAACCUAAAUCAUGAGAUCUGUAUCUCAAAUAAUUUGGUUACAAAUCAUGCAUGUUCAAUAUAAUCCUUCCUUUGAGAUAUUCAGUAUGAUUGUUUGACUAAAACAAAAGUUAUAUCAUGAUCACCAUUGUGUGCUUUGACAUUAAAGCAUCUGACCAGUAUAGAUAUAUCAGUUUUAUUUUCUGCGGCCAUUACAAUUUUGUUUUAGAACAAUUUAUCAAAUAUGGAAUAAAAUAGAUUUAAACAACAGAAUAAUUUCCUGACAAUAGCUAUAGUGCUUGUGAGCUGAGGAUUAUUAAAACAUUAUUGGAAAAUUCUUUAUCUGUGUACUUGUUAUAAAUUAUAGAUAUAAUAUAUAUAUGACUGUUAUUCUGAUCGACAGAAAUGUAAACAAUGUUCAUUAAAUACUGAUGCAUCUUACAAUAAAGUAUGAUUUAUAAAGACAUUAAGUAUAAACUAACACAAAAUAUGAUAGUCAAUGCCCAAGAGUAAUAGGAUACACUGCAAUCACAGUAUACCCACAACAUGUUGAUCAGUGAAUAACAAGUAUAACAAGCAUGACUCUUGAUAAAAUAAUUUACUAACUGUAUUCUAUGUUGCAUGUAAAAGUGCUAUUUUGACAGCUUUAACCAUUUAUGGCUGGAUCCUACAAAUUAUAAGCAUGUCAUAGUCCUGAAACCAGUAUUCUGACAAUAGAAACAUCUUGGAAGUUGCAAUUUAAUUGGAAAGAAAAUAGUUCUAUUCAUCAUAUCUAAGUGAAAUCUGAGGUAUAUAUACUUCACUGAAUUGGUUCAUCAGAAAUAAAAAAACGGACUCUACAAAAGUUGUUUUAAAGUCGUCACAAAGUAGGCUUGUAAAAUUGCUUUCUGGUCUGUAAAAAUCAUUUCAAGAUUCUACAGUCUAAUUGAAAUUAACUUAAAUUUCCAUAAAAUUAUGAAGAAAACUAAUCAAGGGGUAAAAAUUUACUGCAUUUCUGCAAAAUGUUUAAUUUUUAGAUAAAUCAGUGUUCAUAACCAUACAAAUUAAAAUAUACUGAAAACUUGUUGUUUAAGACAAAAACAAUCACAUAUGACCUUUAAAACUCUACAUCUUUGAAAGGUCAUGGGGCUUGGUUGUAAAAACUUUUUAAUGCUAUUGAGUUAGAACUUUACCAGUGUUAACUUAAAUCUAAUAAAGCAUGUUUUCAAAAUAAUUUUGCAUAGAACAGUUAAAUAAUCAUUUCAAAACCAUUCAUCAGUCAGGGAUAUUACAUAAUAUAACUUUUAUGACUACUGACAAUUAAAAACUGUUGGAGCAAUGCUGUUAAAAGAAAAAAAAGAAGAAAUAUGACUUUCAUUCUUGUAUAGCAUUUUUUUUAAAAAUUAUUGAUAAAGGGAGAUAACUCAGUUUCUCUGCCUCAAAAUUUAUCUACCAAAACCAGUUAAUACAAGCGACUUGUAUAAGUGUUACUCCUGACUGACCAUUCAUGCCAAAUUAGACUAUUUUUGUGCAUAUUAUAUAUCUAAUAUUUAACAAAUAAAGUUAUUAGGUAUGUAUUUAGCCACCGUUUCUUUAGAAAUAUUGAAACACCUUAACUCCUAUCAAGGCACUUAUAUAAUAAUGCAUUUUAAUAGAUGAAGGCUACGCUGUAAACUUUAUAAUACAUCAAUGGUUUUGAAACAGACUAUAAAGCACUUUGUCACAGUCCACAAAUAAGCAAACAUUUGUUAAUUUUACUAUCCUGAAAAAUAGCACAUUACACAACUAUGGUUUAACACUACUGAACAAAGAAAUGAUACCUUUACAUUGGUUUAAGAGCAUACGAUACAGUUACAGGAGAGGUAAUGACGUUGCUAACGUAAAAUGUUAUUUUCGCGCAUCAAACUGUGACUUAUCGGGAAAAGAUGCAUUUUUCGACUGAUUUUUAUCAUUCAAACUGAUUUCAUUUGAAAACGAGUGCAUGGACCCCUAUUUUUUAAAACAACAUUUUUGUUCAUUUUGCAGGAAGAUUAUGUGGACCAAAUUUUAUAAAACUGUAAAUAGUGCAACUUUUUUAAUUUGGAUAAAUAAACAGCAAAACAGUAUGUUUUUUUUUUCUCAAUUCAUGACCAUUUGAUAAAUA
This 5493-nucleotide long non-coding RNA is filed under the name Mytilus galloprovincialis (Mediterranean mussel). Lineage: Eukaryota; Metazoa; Mollusca; Bivalvia; Mytilida; Mytilidae. The record is from RNAcentral.